Molecule: ribosomal RNA, 254 nt
Filed under: uncultured bacterium
Lineage: Bacteria
Description: partial 16S ribosomal RNA
Rfam family: Bacterial small subunit ribosomal RNA
Source: RNAcentral
CACGUAGGGGCCAAGCGUUGUCCGGAUUUAUUGGGCGUAAAGAGCUCGUAGGCGGUUGGGUAAGUCGGGGGGGAAAACUCCGGGCUCAACUCGGAGACGCCACUCGAUACUGCCAUGACUCGAGUCCGGUAGGGGAGUGCGGAAUUCCUGGUGUAGCGGUGAAAUGCGCAGAUAUCAGGAGGAACACCGGUGGCGAAGGCGGCACUCUGGGCCGGUACUGACGCUGAGGAGCGAAAGCGUGGGGAGCGAACAGG